This 442-nucleotide ribosomal RNA is filed under the name uncultured bacterium. RNAcentral describes it as "partial 16S ribosomal RNA". It matches the Rfam family "Bacterial small subunit ribosomal RNA", at positions 338 to 795 of the family's 1533-position model. The record is from RNAcentral.
CCUACGGGAGACUGCAGUGGGGAAUAUUGGGCAAUGGGCGCAAGCCUGACCCAGCAACGCCGCGUGAAGGAAGAAGGCUUUCGGGUUGUAAACUUCUUUUAAGAGGGAAGAGCAGAAGACGGUACCUCUUGAAUAAGCCACGGCUAACUACGUGCCAGCAGCCGCGGUAAUACGUAGGUGGCAAGCGUUGUCCGGAAUUACUGGGUGUAAAGGGAGCGCAGGCGGGAAGCCAAGUCAGCUGUGAAAACUACGGGCUUAACUUGUAGACUGCAGUUGAAACUGGUUUUCUUGAGUGAAGUAGAGGUUGGCGGAAUUCCGAGUGUAGCGGUGAAAUGCGUAGAUAUUCGGAGGAACACCGGUGGCGAAGGCGGCCAACUGGGCUUUAACUGACGCUGAGGCUCGAAAGUGUGGGGAGCAAACAGGAUUAGAUACCCCUGUAGUC